ACUCAAAGGAAUAGACGGGGGCCCGCACAAGCGGCGGAGCAUGUGGAUUAAUUCGAUGCAACGCGAAGAACCUUACCUGGGUUUGACAUACACCGGAAACAUCUGGAGACAGGUGCCCCGCAAGGUCGGUGUACAGGUGGUGCAUGGCUGUCGUCAGCUCGUGUCGUGAGAUGUUGGGUUAAGUCCCGCAACGAGCGCAACCCUCGUUCCAUGUUGCCAGCGGAUAAUGCCGGGGACUCAUGGGAGACUGCCGGGGUCAACUCGGAGGAAGGUGGGGACGACGUCAAGUCAUCAUGCCCCUUAUGUCCAGGGCUUCACACAUGCUACAAUGGCCGGUACAGAGGGCUGCGAAUCCGCAAGGUGGAGCGAAUCUCACAAAGCCGGUCUCAGUUCGGAUCGGGGUCUGCAACUCGACCCCGUGAAGUUGGAGUCGCUAGUAAUCGCAGAUCAGCAAUGCUGCGGUGAAUACGUUCCCGGGCCUUGUACACACCGCCCGU
Molecule: ribosomal RNA, 497 nt
Filed under: uncultured bacterium
Lineage: Bacteria
Description: partial 16S ribosomal RNA
Rfam family: Bacterial small subunit ribosomal RNA
Source: RNAcentral